Molecule: ribosomal RNA, 250 nt
Filed under: uncultured bacterium
Lineage: Bacteria
Description: partial 16S ribosomal RNA
Rfam family: Bacterial small subunit ribosomal RNA
Source: RNAcentral
GACGAGGGAUCCUAGCGUUGUUCGGAAUUAUUGGGCGUAAAGCGGGUGUAGGUGGCUUUGUAAGUCAGGUGUGAAAGCCCAGGGCUCAACCCUGGAAGUGCAUUUGAUACUGCGAAGCUUGAAUGUCGGAGAGGUUACUAGAAUACCUGGUGUAGUGGUGAAAUACGUAGAUAUCAGGUGGAAUACCGGAGGCGAAGGCGGGUAACUGGCCGAACAUUGACACUGAAACCCGAAAGCGUGGGGAUCAAAC